UCCCAGCUGACGAGUCCCAUAUAGGACGAAACGCGCGUCCUGGAC
Molecule: non-coding RNA, 45 nt
Filed under: Schistosoma mansoni
Lineage: Eukaryota; Metazoa; Platyhelminthes; Trematoda; Strigeidida; Schistosomatidae
Source: RNAcentral